AUGAAGUUCAAUAGAGGUCGCCGCCGCAGCCGUGAUUCGGAGAUAGCAGCUUGUUAUGGAGAGGAAAGGCUAAGCGAGCUGGCAAGUGAUGUUGUGGUCAAAGUCCUUGGGACGGUGAAAACCCAGUGGAAGAAAGCAGCUGGUAAUGCGGAGGACAGGCUAAGCGAGCUGCCCAAUGAUUUGCUGCUCAACAUCCUCGAGAGGGUGGGUACGCUUGAUGCCAUAAGAACCUACAUCCUUUCGAAGCGACUGCAGAAGCUGCCCACUAUGCUCUCGCAGAUCGUAAUUGAUCUCAGCCCUCGUGAUUUGUAUGAAAUGGAUGGUGUUGUGGCUGAGGUGACGGACAAGAUCCUUAGUACGAGGUCUCCACAGAUCACUGUUCACAAGCUGAAGCUCAAAUUUUUCUUGGUUCCCUCUCGCUGUCUCUCCAUCGGCAAAUCUGUUGGCCUCGCCAUGGUGACCCAGAAAUUGGAUGCAGCUGAGUUUGAGAUCAUGACACAGAAGGAUUUCAGCCAUUGCACCGAUGCCCAUCGCCUGCUCUAUGCUCAGAAAUUCAAUGAUUUUGUUCGUGAUUGUCCGGAUGCAUUUGCUGGUCUCACGCGGCUGCAUCUACGGAAUAUGAGGUUUGGUAAAUCAGAUAUAUCCAACAUCCUUAGCCAUUGCAAGCGGUUGGAGUUCUUGUCUUUCUUCGAGUGUGACGAGGGGGACCGUUCGGUGCUCCAUGUAGAACACGCUCAACUAGUUGAGCUUGUUAUCAUCUUUGGGAAAUUUGAAACAGUGGAGCUUGCCUGUCUACCAAAGCUCCAGCGGAUGAUCUAUAGGGAUUGGCAGUAUGAUGAUAAUCCCUUGGUUCUUGGUUUUGUCCCUCAGCUUUCGAAGCUCAGUCUUGCUUGUCCAUACAUUUCAGGCAAGACACUCAACUUAAGCAAGCUGCUUGCUAAUGCCCCCACUGUAAGCGAUUUGUAUCUGGAGUUUCGAAGUGAAAAGAUUUGGAUUCAACCAGAAUGCCCAAAAGUGCUUGCUCGUGUGCUUGCCAAACUACGGUUUGUGAAUCUGGAUCAUCUUCGCGAAGAAUGUGAUGUCUCCUGGACACUCUUUCUUCUUGAAGCGGCACCAUACCUAGAGGAGCUUUGCAUCACAGUAUGGGACCAUAAGUGCCGAAUCGAGUCACAAAAGAGCGUCUCCAAGAAAACGGAUGUGAAGUGGGAACCAUCUGAUCCUCACUUUAAGCAGAAGAAUCUGGCAAGGCUGACUAUAUACGGCUUCCAGUCCGAUGACAAUUUCAUCGGAUACGUUAGACGCGUCAUUCAAGCUGCUGCGAACAUCAGGGAGGUAUCCCUGCACGCCAGGAAGGUGUGCCCAUUGUGUUUCGAAAAGUUUCCUCAGGUGGCGCUUCGUCCUUCGAGUUAUCCACGGACAAGCGAGGAGCUUGAUUUGUUGAGGGAGAAGAUGACAGCCGCUUCGGCUACGGCUUCUCCUGUUAUUCAUUUCCGCUCAUUAGGUUGA
RNAcentral lists this ribosomal RNA (1506 nucleotides) under Triticum aestivum (bread wheat). RNAcentral's name for it is "partial small subunit ribosomal RNA". Lineage: Eukaryota; Viridiplantae; Streptophyta; Magnoliopsida; Poales; Poaceae. The record is from RNAcentral.